CUACGGGUGGCUGCAGUGGGGAAUAUUGCACAAUGGGCGCAAGCCUGAUGCAGCCAUGCCGCGUGUGUGAAGAAGGCCUUCGGGUUGUAAAGCACUUUCAGCGGGGAGGAAGGCGUUAAGGUUAAUAACCUUGGCGAUUGACGUUACCCGCAGAAGAAGCACCGGCUAACUCCGUGCCAGCAGCCGCGGUAAUACGGAGGGUGCAAGCGUUAAUCGGAAUUACUGGGCGUAAAGCGCACGCAGGCGGUCUGUCAAGUCGGAUGUGAAAUCCCCGGGCGCAACCUGGGAACUGCAUUCGAAACUGGCAGGCUAGAGUCUUGUAGAGGGGGGUAGAAUUCCAGCUGUAGCGGUGAAAUGCGUAGAGAUCUGGAGGAAUACCGGUGGCGAAGGCGGCCCCCUGGACAAAGACUGACGCUCAGGUGCGAAAGCGUGGGGAGCAAACAGGAUUAGAUACCCGAGUAGUC
RNAcentral lists this ribosomal RNA (464 nucleotides) under uncultured Klebsiella sp. RNAcentral's name for it is "bacterial SSU rRNA". It matches the Rfam family "Bacterial small subunit ribosomal RNA", at positions 339 to 795 of the family's 1533-position model. The record is from RNAcentral. Lineage: Bacteria; Pseudomonadati; Pseudomonadota; Gammaproteobacteria; Enterobacterales; Enterobacteriaceae.